RNA transcript from Macadamia integrifolia, 1041 nucleotides. It is a transcript of the gene named disease resistance protein RGA2-like, with no coding region annotated. NCBI's taxonomy places the organism in Eukaryota, Viridiplantae, Streptophyta, Magnoliopsida, Proteales, Proteaceae. The transcript has 4 exons. The record is from RefSeq and is a predicted model, not a curated record.
UGAAAGAGUGGGAUAUGGGAGUUCAAUAUGGGAAAAAGUUUAUCUUUAUGCCGUGUCUCCAGUAUCUUCUACUUAUUGAAUUGCCCAAGUUAAAGUCCUUUCCACCGCACCUUACCCAAGCUACAUCCCUGAGGAAGUUGUUCAUAUGGGAGUGUCCGAAGUUGACUUGGAAGCCAUCUCCAUCCUCUCAUCUUGCUUCUCUGGACGUUGAAGAGUUGGUUUUAAAAGAGAAUGCAGGUUCAUUUUCAAAAACAUUUGUAUCAAACAACCACAUGUUUCUUCCAAAGCUCAAGUUACUGUGUGUGAGAAAAUCACCUUACUCAUCGUUACCUGAAGGCUUAGGGCAACUCACAUCACUUCAGAUUCUGGAUAUUCGAACCUGUUCUAAGAUCAAGUCAAUUCCUGAGAGGGAGUUGCAGCAUCUCACUGCACUCCAAGAGUUGAAGAUCAUGAGAUGUCGUAACUUGAAACUAUGCUUCCUAAAGGAGAUAUGUGAGAAUUGGAGCAAGAUAUCCCACAUCCCAAAAAUCUUUAUUGAUGGGGAGAAGAUCGAACAAGUGGUAACUUCCAGACUAACAAGAGAUGGAGGAAAAAGAAGUGGACAAGACACAAUAGAUCAUAUACUUGAUGAAAGAUAAUCGAGAGUACCCGGCCUCUUCAACUCCUCCGUUGGAAUUCUCAACAUAGAAUCCACUGUCUACCAUUUGAUGAUCAGAGGGAGAGAGAAAUAGUACAAUUCUGUCAUCUCUUCUCAGAUCAGAGCUUACUCUGCUUGUCAAGGUUUUGAUUCUAAGGAUCUAUAUGAUCGAUGCUUUUACUCUUCUGCACAUCAAAUCUCAAAUGCCUAAGAAUUUCGAAAUUCAAUUGUGAACAAUCCCUUUUGCCCACUACCAAAAUCUCAUGUGCCAUCAUGGUGAAUGCCACAGGCAUGGAAGUAAGCAUGCAAUCCAAUGAUCUGUGUUCAUGGCUGGCUCUGUGUUAUUGAGAAGCUAGAAGUUAGAGUUUUGGCAACCAGCCAGCUGCCAGCGAGACUUCUUACUA